Cyprinus carpio carpio is the source of this 311-nucleotide long non-coding RNA. The record is from Ensembl. Lineage: Eukaryota; Metazoa; Chordata; Actinopteri; Cypriniformes; Cyprinidae.
CUGCCGUGGUUUGAGAUGAAACGUCCCAGCUGUCAUCGGCUCUUUGAGGUGGUUUUCAGGAGACACAUGGGGAUCUGCAGCCUCCUGUGAAGAAAGUGUCAUUUCCGUCUCACACGGCUUCACCGCGCUCAAGUAGAGAAGACGGUUCAAUCCAAGGAGGUCUGUGAUACCUGGAAAGAGCUAUCCGUUAGUGUUCCCAUUCAUCUCAAUGGCAGUUCCUCAGUUCCUCAUUUGGUGCAGGACCUCCAAGAAUCUGCAAUCUGCUGCCAGGUUGUUUGAGCCAUAAAUGAGGUAAUUGAGGUUUUAAAAAA